RNAcentral lists this long non-coding RNA (1241 nucleotides) under Brachypodium distachyon (stiff brome). RNAcentral describes it as "long non-coding RNA (BDIS_LNC005027)". Lineage: Eukaryota; Viridiplantae; Streptophyta; Magnoliopsida; Poales; Poaceae. The record is from RNAcentral.
CAGCACUUGUAGGCACGACCGGCACCUCGCUCCAAGCGGCCUCGGGCGUGCUCUGCGUCCCCAGGAAGGCUCGACGACGAGAAGCUUCCGCGACGGCUCCUCGACCACCAACGCAACCUUCGUCGCUGCUAAAGAGUGGCUAAUGCCCCUGCGAGGCCCUUGCAAAACACCAACCUCUCGAAGAAAUGUCGGGGGCCGCCGAACUCAUCUUCGACGCCAGACAGAUCAAACAUGCAUGGUGUGAGCCUCCUCAAUGCCCGGGGGUGCCAUUUUAUAGGCCGCCGGAGCUCCUAGGCAUCCGGGUCGGGCCAAUGGUGCGGCGACACCUCGCCAUCCUUCUCCCCAAGGAACAAGACAAGAAGAGGAAGAAAUGGGCAAGGGGAGCUUCGCUUUUUCCUAAAAGAAGGCUGGCCUGGUCGAAGAAGGGUGCCCCCCGCCCGGGCCCCGUGCCCCGGCCGUGCCGGCGUCACCCCCGGUGACGAGCGCUGCCUACGGCCGUCCGAUCUAGGGCGCCCAGUCGCCCGUAGCCGUCGGAUCCCCUUACAUAAAACCGAACCGGUAUCGGGCCUAGCCGGGCUCCGGCCCAGCAACAGCCCAAAGAAGCCGGCCAAAAAAAAAAGAAAAAAACUGAGGAGAGCCUCCCGGAGGCGGCCCGGCUUGCAGCCCCACUCGCGUCCACGCACGCUCAGGGCCUGCCCGGCCGGCCCAUGCGGCCGGCAAGGUUCACGUAAAUUUGCAAAAAAGCCCAAGAUUUCGGGAGAAUUGACAAUAAGACCUCGGAAAUUUCGGGGAGGCCUGCAGGGCCCCUGAUUUUUGCAGAAAAGUCCUCCGGGACACCGUAUUUCUCGCAGAGAGGCCCCUAGGGUCCCGGUUUUUGCUAAAUACCACCCGAAACUCGAUUUCUCUCAGAGAAAUUCGUCGUAGGCACGGAAUUUCCCCGAAACGCCUCCAAGGCUCCUAUUCUUUGCAGGAAGACCACCAAGUACCUUUGUUUCUCACAAGGGAGCCUGCCAGGGAAUUCAUCAAAGACAUCAUUAUAAGUACAAGAACAGGACUCAAGAGUCUUGCAUCGAAGGUUGACCCGAAGGCAUUCUCAAUGCCACUGGCUCAAGAGGGCUACUGUUGUAGUAAAAUAAAACCCUUAUAUGGGCCGGGCCAUAAAUCUUACGUGGCGACGACUAACUCAACAUUUCCCAAGCAUAAGUCAAGACGUCCACGUGGCGCAGCCAAUCCUACGUGGC